UACAGAGGUUGCAAGCGUUAAUCGGAUUUACUGGGCGUAAAGCGUGUGUAGGUGGCUGUACAAGUCGGUUGUGAAAUCCCUGGGCUCAACCCGGGAACUGCUUCCGAGACUGUACGACUAGAGAUCGGUAGAGGGCGGUGGAAUUUCCGGUGUAGCGGUGAAAUGCGUAGAUAUCGGAAGGAACAUCAAUGGCGAAGGCAGCCGCCUGGGCCUGAUCUGACACUGAGACACGAAAGCGUGGGGAUCAAAC
RNAcentral lists this ribosomal RNA (250 nucleotides) under uncultured bacterium. RNAcentral's name for it is "partial 16S ribosomal RNA". It matches the Rfam family "Bacterial small subunit ribosomal RNA", at positions 524 to 773 of the family's 1533-position model. The record is from RNAcentral.